GUCAAUAUGUCCGAGUGGUUAAGGAGAUAGACUUGAAAUCUAUUGGGCUUUACCUGCGCAGGUUCAAAUCCUACUGUUGACG
This is a transfer RNA of Ipomoea nil (Japanese morning glory), 82 nucleotides long. It matches the Rfam family "tRNA". Rfam says of the family: Transfer RNA (tRNA) molecules are approximately 80 nucleotides in length. Their secondary structure includes four short double-helical elements and three loops (D, anti-codon, and T loops). NCBI's taxonomy places the organism in Eukaryota, Viridiplantae, Streptophyta, Magnoliopsida, Solanales, Convolvulaceae. The record is from Rfam.